AUUGAACGCUGGCGGAAUGCUUUACACAUGCAAGUCGAACGGCAGCACGGACUACGGUCUGGUGGUGAGUGGCGAACGGGUGAGUAAUGUAUCGGAACGUGCCCAGUCGUGGGGGAUAACGUAGUGAAAAUUACGCUAAUACCGCACACGAUCUAUGGAUGAAAGCGGGGGAUCGCAAGACCUCGCGCGAUUGGAGCGGCCGAUAUCAGAUUAGGUAGUUGGUGGGGUAAAGGCCCACCAAGCCAACGAUCUGUAGCUGGUCUGAGAGGACGACCAGCCACACUGGAACUGAGACACGGUCCAGACUCCUACGGGAGGCAGCAGUGGGGAAUUUUGGACAAUGGGCGAAAGCCUGAUCCAGCCAUUCCGCGUGCAGGAUGAAGGCCCUCGGGUUGUAAACUGCUUUUGUACAGAACGAAAAGGUUUCUACUAAUACUAGGAGCUCAUGACGGUACUGUAAGAAUAAGCACCGGCUAACUACGUGCCAGCCGCCGCCGUAA
This 500-nucleotide ribosomal RNA is filed under the name uncultured bacterium. RNAcentral describes it as "partial 16S ribosomal RNA". It matches the Rfam family "Bacterial small subunit ribosomal RNA", at positions 30 to 523 of the family's 1533-position model. The record is from RNAcentral.